Molecule: long non-coding RNA, 4512 nt
Filed under: Mytilus galloprovincialis (Mediterranean mussel)
Lineage: Eukaryota; Metazoa; Mollusca; Bivalvia; Mytilida; Mytilidae
Source: RNAcentral
UUUUUUUGAAAAUUGUUCAGUAAGUAACCUAUAGCUGUUAACAUGUAGGUCACAUGGUCCCUGGUGGAAAGUUGUCUAAAUGGCAAUAAUAUCACAUUUUUUAACUUGUAGAUUUUCAUUUCAAUAUUUGUCUGUGCAAACUAUUUCAGCCACAAGUAAGACGCUACUUUUAAAGUUUUAUAGAAAGCUGAUUCUAAGAAUUAAUGGAAAGCUCAUAAACUAAUAAAGGGCUGCACUUUAGCGCAUGAUACGCCCGUUGCUCUUUUAACUUGUCUUUUAUGCUUUAAAUGAAUUUAUAUGAUCAACUAGAAAUAUAUAUACAAAUCAAAAGGGAUGUUACAUUAAUAUAUUCACCAAAGUUUCAUAAAAUCCCCCCUUUUUGGAAAGAUUAGAACUUGUUCUAAAUCUUUACUUAGGCACUGGCCUCCAUAACAACAGGACAGGUUAGCUAUUGUUACUUAAUGUAUUCACACUGAAAUAUAGUUCCCUAUGUUCUCAUGUAUGUGCACAUAAAACACAUAUAAACUGAAAAAAAACUGGGUAUAUUAUUGGAGCAGUUCAUUCAAGAAUGUAUGUCAUUAAGGUGUGUUGAUGUGCAGGCUUUUUUUUAAAAAAAACAUGUUGAUUAGGUAACUGGGUAUUGAUUCAACUAGAAGUAUGAUUGACAACUGUCAUUAUCACUAAACAAUCAGAGACAAGGUGGACCUUUAAUUACAAUGCCCCACCUCCUAAACUGCCAAUCAAAUUGACCACAUUACCUAUCAACCUCAGUCUUACAUAAUUAUACAGACCACUAAAUAUACAUAUAAUUCUUAAUACACAAGUAUUUGACCUCAUAAUUGAAUCCACAAAUGUGUAUAUUAGAUGUUUGAUAUUUAUAAGGAUGAUAGAUUUAUUUAUUGCCAAUUACUUUUGAUCUACAUUACAUAUAGUCACCGUCACGCGGACAGAUAUCUGUAAAUUAUAUCUGAAAGACAAAUUAUUAAUGGAUUAACAAGAAGGAAUUGGCUUGAAACAGUUUAAAAAUUUUAAAACUUUUAAUUAUAACAAACCAUUGUUUAUUAGUUUAUUUCCCAUCAAUCAGUAUGUCUAUUUUAGUCAUUUGAAUUUUUAUUAGAAGUGAAUAUAUAUUUUUACAAUCGAGAAAGAAUCCACAUUUCAAUAAGAUAAGUUUUUCAAUUGGUUAACGUUGAAAAAGUACAUUUUCAAUGCCCUGUGUUGAAAAAUACUUUAAAAAAUGAUCAAAAGGCACUCUAAAACUUUUAAUCUUCAAUGCCAUAUAACCUCUGUUUCAACUUACAAAAUGCCCCAAAACAACAUUUUUCAAUUUUUUUUUGUUGACACUUGAAAGUUUUAAGGUGUUGGUCCAGAUUUAUGUCUUACAAGGAUAGUUGGUAACAUUUACUAGAAGAAUUUUGCAUUUUUUGUUUUUUUUGAAACAUGUUCAGAACCGGCAACAUAAUUUCGAUAAGAUAUAAACUGCAGUUUAAAUAAAAUUGUGCAAAUUAAGAGACCCAUAUUAUUUAAUUUGAGCUUGUUUUAUCCUCAUACUGGAAAAGCAAGUUUCCUUCUAAAGACCUGCUGUAAAUGCAAUUUUCAGUAAAAGUGCUUUAUAAAUGUUCAUUUUUCCCCACCAUACCUUAAUAUGAAAUAAUUCAAACUACUCUUCUAAUCUUUCCAUGAGUGAUUUCCAUCACUUUGAUUAAGUAUAAAAAUUCAUUACUUAAGAAAACGUAAAAUCUAAAAUUUAUAAAAAUGGAAAGGGAGCUUAUGUCAAUAGAUAUAAACAAUUUAUCAAAGUUGCAUAAAAUUUUGUGAAAGUGUUAGUUAUUGUCCCAAAAUUGGAAAAUCCCCCUUUUUUUAAGCAUAAAAAUUCAUAACACGGAAAUGUAAAAUCUGAAAUUUAUAAAAAUUGAAAGGGAGCUUACAUCAAUAGAUAUAAACAAUUCACCAAAGUUUCAUGGACAUUGGUAAAAGCCUUUUUGAGUUAUUGUCCGAAGUGUUGAAAAUCCCCCUUUUUUUUAUGAAUAAAGCCCCAUAAAUCCAAAACUUAAAAUCUGAAAUUUAUAAAAAUGAAAGGGAGCUUACAUCAAUAGAUAUAAACAAUUCACCAAAGUUUCAUGUACAUUGGUGAAAGCCUUUUUGAGUUAUUGUCCGAAGUGUUGAAAAUCCCCCCUUUUUUAUGAAUAAAGCCCCAUAAAUCCAAAACUUAAAAUCUGAAAUUAAAAAAAAAAUGAAAGGGAGCUUACGUCAAUAGAUAUAAACAAUUCACUUAAGUUUCAUGGAAAUUGGUGAAAGUGUUUUCGAGUUAUUGUCCGAAGUGUUGACACCGGACAGACGGACAGACAGACGGACGGACAGACAACGAUAUACCAUAAUACGUCCCGUCUAAAAGACGACGGGCGUAUAAAAAUAAGGUUAAUAUCAAUUUAAUUAAUUAAAAAAAAAAAACACUUUUAUGUUACACAAGGCUCUGGUAUACAUGGUAUACAAAAAAAAAAAGCACUAAUUUUAUAAAUUAGGUGUACACCUGCAGCACAGGUAUAUAAAACAUAACAAUGUAAAAGUUAAGUAGCUAGGUGUACACCUUUAACAACAGUAUGUGAAACAAAACAAAAGUAAAGUUGGUGUACACCUUGAAAACUGGUAAGUAAAAUAGAAAAUAUUGUAAGGGUUCUGAAGAACUCAGUAUCUCACUUACUUUUGUUGUUAAUCGCAGCCUCAAAAAAAAGAGGGAAAAAAAUCAAUAACAAGAAUGUGUCCAAAGUACACGGAUGCCCCACUCAAUCCUUUUCCAUGUUCCAUGGACCGUGAAAUAGGAUAAAAAUCUAAUUUGGCAUUAAAAUUAGAAAGAUUAUACUAUAGGGAACAUGUGUACUAAGUUUCAAGUUGAUUUGACUUCAAUUUCAUCAAAAACUUUAACCUGAAACUUCCACUUUCAUUUUCUAUGUCAAGUGGACCGUGAAAUUGGGGUCAAAACUUUAAUUUGGCACUAAAAUUAGAAAAAUCAUAUCAUAAGCAACAAGUGUACUAAGUUUCCAGUUGAUAGGACUUCAGCUUCAUCAACUAGAGGCUCUUAAGAGCCUGUGUUGCUCACCAUGGUCUAUGUGCAUACAUGUACUGGUAGUAAACAAUGAACACAGAUCCAUUCAUGACAAAAUUGUGUUUUGAUGAUGGUGAUGUGUUUGUAGAUCUUACUUUACUGAACAUUCUUGCUACUUACAAUUUUCUCUAUCUAUAACAAACUUGGCCCUUUAGUUACACAGAGGAAAAUAUUUUGUAAAAAUUUACAAAAAAUUUAUAAAAUUAAUGAAAAUUGUUAAAAAUUGACGAUAAAGAGCAAUUACUCUUUGAGGGGGGUCAACUGACCAUUUAGGUCAUGUUGACUUAUUUGUAGAUCUUACUUUGUUGAACAUUAUUCCUGUUGACAGUUUAUCUCUAUCUAUACUAAUAUUCAAGAUAAUAACCAAAAACUGCAAAAUUUCUUUAAAAAUUACCAAUUGUGGGGCAGCAACCCAACAACCCAUUGUCCAAUUCAUCUGAAAAUUUCAGAACAGAUAAAUAUUGACUAGAUAAACAAUUUAACCCCUUUCAGAUUUGCUCUAAAUGCUUUGGUUUCAGAGUUAUAAGCCAAAAUCUACAUUUUACCCCAUGUUCUAUUUUUAGCCAUGGCGGCCAUCUUGUUUGGUUGGCCGGGUCACCAGACUCAUUUUUUUAACUAGAUACUCCAAUGAUGAUUGUGGCUAAGUUUGGUAAAGUUUGGCCUAGUAGUUUCAGAGAAGAUUUUUGUAAAAGACUACAAAAUUUACGAAAAAUUCGUAAAAAAUGACUCUAAAGGGCAAUAACUUCUUAAGGGGUCAACUGACCAUUUUGAUCAUGCAGACUUAUUUGUAGAUCUUACUUUGCUGAACAUUAUUGCUGUCUACAGUUUAUCUCUAUCUAUAAUAAUAUUCAAGAUAAUAACCAUAAAACAGCAAAAUUUCCUUUAAAUUGCCAAUUCAGGGGCAGCAACCCAACAACCGGUUGUCCGAUUCGUCUGAAAAUUUCAGGGCAGAUAUAUCUUGACUUAAUAAACAAUUUAACCCCCAUGUCAGAUUUGCUCUAAAUGCUUCGGUUUCAGAGUUAUAAGCCAAAAACUGCAUUUUACCCCUAUGUUCUAUUUUUAGCCAUGGCAGCCAUCUUGGUUGGUUGGCUGGGUCACAGAACACAUUUUUGUCGAGCCUUCGACUUUAGUCGAAAAAGCGAGACUAAGCGAUCCUACAUUCCGUCGUCGGCGUCCACAAAUAUUCACUCUGUGGUUAAAGUUUUUGAAAUUUUAAUAACUUUCAUAAACUAUCCUUGAUUUGUACCAAACUUGGACAGAAGCUUGUUUAUGAUCAUAAGAAAGUAUCCAGAAGUAAAUUUGUAAAAAUAAAAUUCCAUUUUUUCCGUAUUUUACUUAUAAAUGGACUUAGUUUUUCUGCGAGGAAACGUUACAUUCACUCUGUGGUUCAAGUUUUUAAAAUUUUAAUA